GGUGUUUGCAGCUGAUGCUCCGGGUCAAUGAGUACCGCUUUGCUUGGGUGGAAGCAGAUGGGGUAAAUUGCAUAAUGGGAGUGUUGAGUAACAAGUGUGGCUUUCAGCUCCAGUAUCAAAUGAUUUUUUCAAUAUGGCUCCUGGCAUUCAGUCCUCAAAUGUGUGAACACCUGCGGCGCUAUAAUAUCAUUCCAGUUCUGUCUGAUAUCCUUCAGGAGUCUGUCAAAGAGAAAGUAACAAGAAUCAUUCUUGCAGCAUUUCGUAAUCUUGACAAAACUUUUGGAAGUGUCAGAUGAUCCCCAAGUCUUAGCUGUUGCUGCUCACGAUGUUGGAGAAUAUGUGCGGCAUUAUCCACGAGGCAAACGGGUCAUCGAGCAGCUCGGUGGGAAGCAGCUGGUCAUGAACCACAUGCAUCAUGAAGACCAGCAGGUCCGCUAUAAUGCUCUGCUGGCUGUGCAGAAGCUCAUGG
Molecule: small RNA, 469 nt
Filed under: Pan troglodytes (chimpanzee)
Lineage: Eukaryota; Metazoa; Chordata; Mammalia; Primates; Hominidae
Description: processed transcript
Source: RNAcentral